UAGGGAAUCUUCCACAAUGGGCGAAAGCCUGAUGGAGCAACGCCGCGUGAGUGAAGAAGGGUUUCGGCUCGUAAAACUCUGUUGUUAAAGAAGAACGUGGGUAAGAGUAACUGUUUACCCAGUGACGGUAUUUAACCAGAAAGCCACGGCUAACUACGUGCUAG
RNAcentral lists this ribosomal RNA (164 nucleotides) under uncultured bacterium. Its description in RNAcentral is "partial 16S ribosomal RNA". It matches the Rfam family "Bacterial small subunit ribosomal RNA", at positions 355 to 511 of the family's 1533-position model. The record is from RNAcentral.